RNAcentral lists this transfer RNA (69 nucleotides) under Speleketor irwini. Its description in RNAcentral is "tRNA-Ile". The record is from RNAcentral. Lineage: Eukaryota; Metazoa; Arthropoda; Insecta; Psocodea; Prionoglarididae.
GAUAAAAUGCCUGAUAAAAGGAUUAUUAUGAUAUAAUAAAUUAUGUAAAUAGUUGAUUUACUUUUAUCU